RNAcentral lists this ribosomal RNA (253 nucleotides) under uncultured bacterium. RNAcentral describes it as "partial 16S ribosomal RNA". It matches the Rfam family "Bacterial small subunit ribosomal RNA", at positions 524 to 776 of the family's 1533-position model. The record is from RNAcentral.
UACGUAGGGUCCGAGCGUUGUCCGGAAUUAUUGGGCGUAAAGGGCUCGUAGGCGGUUCGUCACGUCGGGAGUGAAAACUCGGAGCUUAACUCCGAGCCUGCUUCCGAUACGGGCAGACUAGAGGUAGGCAGGGGAGAGCGGAACUCCUGGUGUAGCGGUGGAAUGCGCAGAUAUCAGGAAGAACACCGGUGGAGAAGGCGGCUCUCUGGGCCUUACCUGACGCUGAGGAGCGAAAGCGUGGGUAGCGAACAGG